CAACCAUCAAGCCCCCGGGCUUGCGUUGGGGCCCUGCGGCUGCCGCAGGCCCCUAAAUGCAGUGGCGGGCUCGCCGUCGCACCGAGCGCAGUAGCAUACCUCUCGCUCUGAGCGUGGCGGCGGGCACUAGCCGUGAAACCCCCAUUAAACCCCAAAGG
RNAcentral lists this unclassified non-coding RNA (158 nucleotides) under uncultured Podospora. Its description in RNAcentral is "sequence contains ITS2". Lineage: Eukaryota; Fungi; Ascomycota; Sordariomycetes; Sordariales; Lasiosphaeriaceae. The record is from RNAcentral.